CCCUUAGAUGUUCUGGGCUGCACGCGUGCUGCACUGAUAUUGCCAAUAUGUCAUUCUUAUCCGAAAUGGAUUGGGUAAUCAAGUAAUGAAAUUUCAUGCUUGGAAUCGGUAAUUGCAAUUUUAUCGUGAACGAGGAAUUCCUAGUAAGCACUAGUCAUCAGCUAAUGUUGAUUAUGUCCCUGCCCUUUGUACACACCGCCCGUCGCUACUACUGAUUGGGUGUUCAAGUGAGAUGCUUAGACCCUUGUUGCAUGGUUCAUUAUUGUGCUCCGAAAGGAAAAAGUUUCAAGCUUGAGUGUCUAGAGGAAGUAAAAGUCGUAACA
Molecule: ribosomal RNA, 323 nt
Filed under: uncultured eukaryote
Lineage: Eukaryota
Description: partial 18S ribosomal RNA
Rfam family: Eukaryotic small subunit ribosomal RNA
Source: RNAcentral